Molecule: ribosomal RNA, 271 nt
Filed under: uncultured bacterium
Lineage: Bacteria
Description: partial 16S ribosomal RNA
Rfam family: Bacterial small subunit ribosomal RNA
Source: RNAcentral
UACAGAGACUGCAAGCGUUAUUCGGAUUCACUGGGCGUAAAGGGUGCGCAGGCGGCCGGGUGUGUCAGAUGUGAAAUCCCGAGGCUCAACCUCGGAACUGCGUCUGAAACUACUCGGCUAGAGUAUUGGAGAGGGUAACGGAAUUCAUGGUGUAGUGGUGAAAUACGUAGAUAUCAACAGGAAUACCGGAGGCGAAGGCGAGUAACUGGGCCAACACUGACACUGGGACCCGAAAGCGUGGGGAUCAAACAGGAUUAGAAACCCGAGUAGU